RNAcentral lists this ribosomal RNA (541 nucleotides) under Fusarium oxysporum. RNAcentral describes it as "eukaryotic LSU rRNA". The stretch from base 198 to 351 matches the Rfam family "5.8S ribosomal RNA". The record is from RNAcentral. Lineage: Eukaryota; Fungi; Ascomycota; Sordariomycetes; Hypocreales; Nectriaceae.
UAAAAGUCGUAACAAGGUCUCCGUUGGUGAACCAGCGGAGGGAUCAUUACCGAGUUUACAACUCCCAAACCCCUGUGAACAUACCACUUGUUGCCUCGGCGGAUCAGCCCGCUCCCGGUAAAACGGGACGGCCCGCCAGAGGACCCCUAAACUCUGUUUCUAUAUGUAACUUCUGAGUAAAACCAUAAAUAAAUCAAAACUUUCAACAACGGAUCUCUUGGUUCUGGCAUCGAUGAAGAACGCAGCAAAAUGCGAUAAGUAAUGUGAAUUGCAGAAUUCAGUGAAUCAUCGAAUCUUUGAACGCACAUUGCGCCCGCCAGUAUUCUGGCGGGCAUGCCUGUUCGAGCGUCAUUUCAACCCUCAAGCACAGCUUGGUGUUGGGACUCGCGUUAAUUCGCGUUCCUCAAAUUGAUUGGCGGUCACGUCGAGCUUCCAUAGCGUAGUAGUAAAACCCUCGUUACUGGUAAUCGUCGCGGCCACGCCGUUAAACCCCAACUUCUGAAUGUUGACCUCGGAUCAGGUAGGAAUACCCGCUGAACUU